GCCUGGCUGGCUCAGUUGGAAGAGCAUGUGACUCUUGAUCUUGGGGUUUUGGGUUCAACCCCCACAUUAGGCA
This 73-nucleotide transfer RNA is filed under the name Felis catus (domestic cat). It matches the Rfam family "tRNA". Rfam says of the family: Transfer RNA (tRNA) molecules are approximately 80 nucleotides in length. Lineage: Eukaryota; Metazoa; Chordata; Mammalia; Carnivora; Felidae. The record is from Rfam by way of RNAcentral.